ACGCUCGACCCUACGGGGGCAGCAGUUGGGAAUAUUGGACAAUGGAGGAAACUCUGAUCCAGUGACGCCGCGUGAAGGAAGAAGGUCUUCGGAUUGUAAACUUAUUUUGUCAGGGAAGAAAAAUGACUGUACCUGAAGAAAAAGCACCGGCUAACUACGUGCUAGCAGCCGCGGUAAUCUGAGCGGGCUGGCAAGGC
RNAcentral lists this ribosomal RNA (197 nucleotides) under uncultured bacterium. RNAcentral describes it as "partial 16S ribosomal RNA". It matches the Rfam family "Bacterial small subunit ribosomal RNA", at positions 328 to 539 of the family's 1533-position model. The record is from RNAcentral.